This 433-nucleotide ribosomal RNA is filed under the name uncultured bacterium. RNAcentral's name for it is "partial 16S ribosomal RNA". It matches the Rfam family "Bacterial small subunit ribosomal RNA", at positions 29 to 507 of the family's 1533-position model. The record is from RNAcentral.
AGCGAACGCUGGCGGCAGGCUUAACACAUGCAAGUCGAGCGGGCCCUUCGGGGUCAGCGGCAGACGGGUGCGUAACACGUGGGAACGUACCCUUUGGUUCGGAAUAACGCUGGGAAACUAGCGCUAAUACCGGAUACGCCCUUUUGGGGAAAGGCUUGCUGCCGGAGGAUCGGCCCGCGUCUGAUUGGCUAGUUGGUGGGGUAAUGGCCUACCAAGGCGACGAUCAGUAGCUGGUCUGUGAGGAUGCUCAGCGACACUGGGACUGAGACACGGCCCAGACUCCUACGGGAGGCAGCAGUGGGUAAUAUUGGACAAUGGGCGCAAGCCUGAUCCAGCCAUGCCGCGUGAGUGAUGAAGGCCUUAGGGUUGGAAAGCUCUUUUGUCCGGGACGAUAAUGACGGUACCGGAAGAAUAAGCCCCGGCUAACUUCGUG